This 72-nucleotide transfer RNA is filed under the name Camelus bactrianus (Bactrian camel). It matches the Rfam family "tRNA". From Rfam's summary of the family: Transfer RNA (tRNA) molecules are approximately 80 nucleotides in length. Their secondary structure includes four short double-helical elements and three loops (D, anti-codon, and T loops). The record is from Rfam by way of RNAcentral. Lineage: Eukaryota; Metazoa; Chordata; Mammalia; Artiodactyla; Camelidae. RNAcentral also lists the same sequence under 2 other names.
GAGGAUAUAGCUCAAUGGUAGAGAGUGUGCUUAGCUUGCAUGAGGUCCUGGGUUCAAUCCCUGGUACCUUCA